RNAcentral lists this ribosomal RNA (916 nucleotides) under uncultured bacterium. RNAcentral describes it as "bacterial SSU rRNA". It matches the Rfam family "Bacterial small subunit ribosomal RNA", at positions 246 to 1155 of the family's 1533-position model. The record is from RNAcentral.
UUGUUGGUAAGGUAAAGGCUUACCAAGGCUUCGAUCAGUAGCUGGUCUGAGAGGACGACCAGCCACACUGGGACUGAGACACGGCCCAGACUCCUACGGGAGGCAGCAGUGGGGAAUUUUGGACAAUGGGGGCAACCCCGAUCCAGCCAUGCCGCGUGAGUGAAGAAGGCCUUCGGGUUGUAAAGCUCUUUCAGCCGGAACGAAACGGUUACGGUUAAUACCCGUGACUACUGACGGUACCGGAAGAAGAAGCACCGGCUAACUACGUGCCAGCAGCCGCGGUAAUACGUAGGGUGCGAGCGUUAAUCGGAAUUACUGGGCGUAAAGCGUGCGCAGGUGGUUUUGUAAGUCAGAUGUGAAAGCCCCGGGCUCGACCUGGGAACUGCGUUUGAAACUACAAGACUAGAGUGUGGCAGAGGGGGGUGGAAUUCCGCGUGUAGCAGUGAAAUGCGUAGAGAUGUGGAGGAACACCGAUGGCGAAGGCAGCCCCCUGGGUCAACACUGACGCUCAGGCACGAAAGCAUGGGGAGCAAACAGGAUUAGAUACCCUGGUAGUCCAUGCCCUAAACGAUGUCAACUAGUUGUCGGGCCUUUACGGGCUUGGUAACGUAGCUAACGCGUGAAGUUGACCGCCUGGGGAGUACGAUCGCAAGAUUAAAACUCAAAUGAAUUGACGGGGACCCGCACAAGCGGUGGAUUAUGUGGAUUAAUUCGAUGCAACGCGAAAAACCUUACCUACCCUUGACAUGUAUCGAAGCCCGCAGAAAAGCGGGGGUGCCCGAAAGGGAACGAUAACACAGGUGCUGCAUGGCUGUCGUCAGCUCGUGUCGUGAGAUGUUGGGUUAAGUCCCGCAACGAGCGCAACCCUUGUCAUUAAUUGCCAUCAUUUAGUUGGGCACUUUAAUGAGACUGCCGG